GAUGAACGCUAGCGGCAGGCCUAACACAUGCAAGUCGAGGGAGAAGCCCUUUCGGGGGCAGAAACCGGCGCACGGGUGCGUAACGCGUAUGCAACCUACCUUUCACAGGGGGAUAGCCCGAAGAAAUUUGGAUUAAUACCCCAUAAUAUUAUUGGAUGGCAUCAUUUGAUAAUUAAAACUGCGGUGGUGAAAGAUGGGCAUGCGUCCUAUUAGCUAGUUGGAGUGGUAACGGCACCCCAAGGCUACGAUAGGUAGGGGUCCUGAGAGGGAGAUCCCCCACACUGGUACUGAGACAGGGACCAGACUCCUACGGGAGGCAGCAGUGAGGAAUAUUGGUCAAUGGUCGGAAGACUGAACCAGCCAUGCCGCGUGCAGGAAGAAUGCCUUAUGGGUUGUAAACUGCUUUUAUAUGGGAAGAAUAAGGCGUACGUGUACGCUGAUGACGGUACCAUAUGAAUAAGCAUCGGCUAACUCCGUG
This 478-nucleotide ribosomal RNA is filed under the name uncultured bacterium. RNAcentral's name for it is "partial 16S ribosomal RNA". It matches the Rfam family "Bacterial small subunit ribosomal RNA", at positions 28 to 507 of the family's 1533-position model. The record is from RNAcentral.